This 73-nucleotide transfer RNA is filed under the name Cavia porcellus (domestic guinea pig). It matches the Rfam family "tRNA". Rfam says of the family: Transfer RNA (tRNA) molecules are approximately 80 nucleotides in length. Their secondary structure includes four short double-helical elements and three loops (D, anti-codon, and T loops). The record is from Rfam by way of RNAcentral. Lineage: Eukaryota; Metazoa; Chordata; Mammalia; Rodentia; Caviidae.
GGAUAUAUAGCUCAGUGGCAUAAGUGCCUGCCUGGCAAGCACAAGGUCCUGAGUUCAAUUCUCAGUGCCCCCC